UACGAAGGGGGCUAGCGUUGCUCGGAAUUACUGGGCGUAAAGGGCGCGUAGGCGGACCUGUCAGUCAGGCGUGAAAGCCCAGGGCUCAACCCUGGAACUGCGCUUGAUACUGCUGGUCUAGAGUGCCGGAGAGGAUGGUGGAAUUCCCAGUGUAGAGGUUAAAUUCGUAGAUAUUGGGAAGAACACCGGUGGCGAAGGCGGCUAUCUGGACGGCAACUGACGCUGAGGCGCGAUGGCGUGGGGAGCAAACAGG
Molecule: ribosomal RNA, 253 nt
Filed under: uncultured bacterium
Lineage: Bacteria
Description: partial 16S ribosomal RNA
Rfam family: Bacterial small subunit ribosomal RNA
Source: RNAcentral